GGGGCCGUAGCUCAAUUGGUAGAGCACCUGCUUUGCAAGCAGGGGGUCAGGAGUUCGAUCCUCCUCGGCUCCA
Molecule: transfer RNA, 73 nt
Filed under: Candidatus Omnitrophota bacterium
Lineage: Bacteria; Pseudomonadati; Candidatus Omnitrophota
Also listed under: 2 other names
Description: tRNA-Ala
Rfam family: tRNA
About the family: Transfer RNA (tRNA) molecules are approximately 80 nucleotides in length. Their secondary structure includes four short double-helical elements and three loops (D, anti-codon, and T loops).
Source: RNAcentral